GAUGAACGCUGGCGGCGUGCCUAAUACAUGCAAGUCGAGCGAACAGACGAGGAGCUUGCUCCUCUGACGUUAGCGGCGGACGGGUGAGUAACACGUGGAUAACCUACCUAUAAGACUGGGAUAACUUCGGGAAACCGGAGCUAAUACCGGAUAAUAUAUUGAACCGCAUGGUUCAAAAGUGAAAGACGGUCUUGCUGUCACUUAUAGAUGGAUCCGCGCCGCAUUAGCUAGUUGGUAAGGUAACGGCUUACCAAGGCAACGAUGCAUAGCCGACCUGAGAGGGUGAUCGGCCACACUGGAACUGAGACACGGUCCAGACUCCUACGGGAGGCAGCAGUAGGGAAUCUUCCGCAAUGGGCGAAAGCCUGACGGAGCAACGCCGCGUGAGUGAUGAAGGUCUUCGGAUCGUAAAACUCUGUUAUUAGGGACGAACAUAUGUGUAAGUAACUGUGCACAUCUUGACGGUACAUAAUCAGAAAGCCACGGCUAACUACGUG
This 497-nucleotide ribosomal RNA is filed under the name uncultured bacterium. RNAcentral's name for it is "partial 16S ribosomal RNA". It matches the Rfam family "Bacterial small subunit ribosomal RNA", at positions 28 to 507 of the family's 1533-position model. The record is from RNAcentral.